Molecule: ribosomal RNA, 396 nt
Filed under: uncultured bacterium
Lineage: Bacteria
Description: partial 16S ribosomal RNA
Rfam family: Bacterial small subunit ribosomal RNA
Source: RNAcentral
AUACGUAGGUGACAAGCGUUAUCCGGAUUUACUGGGCGUAAAGGGCGUGUAGGCGGUCUUGCAAGUCAGAAGUGAAAUUCCUGAGCUCAACUCGGGCGCUGCUUCUGAAACUGCAGGACUUGAGUGCUGGAGGGGAUAGCGGAAUUCCUAGUGGAGCGGUAAAAUGCGCAGAUAUUAGGAGGAACACCAGUGGCGAAGGCGGCCUGCUGGUCGACAACUGACGCUGAGGCGCGAAAGCGUGGGGAGCAAACAGGAUUAGAUACCCUGGUAGUCCACGCUGUAAACGAUGAAUACCAGGUGUGGGGGGACUGACCCCCUCCGUGCCGCAGUUAACACAAUAAGUAUUCCACCUGGGGAGUACGAUCGCAAGAUUGAAACUCAAAUGAAUUGACGGGG